Transfer RNA from Phytophthora infestans T30-4, 72 nucleotides. It matches the Rfam family "tRNA". Rfam says of the family: Transfer RNA (tRNA) molecules are approximately 80 nucleotides in length. Their secondary structure includes four short double-helical elements and three loops (D, anti-codon, and T loops). Further hydrogen bonds mediate the characteristic L-shaped molecular structure. tRNAs have two regions of fundamental functional importance: the anti-codon, which is responsible for specific mRNA codon recognition, and the 3' end, to which the tRNAs corresponding amino acid is attached (by aminoacyl-tRNA synthetases). tRNAs cope with the degeneracy of the genetic code in two manners: having more than one tRNA (with a specific anti-codon) for a particular amino acid; and 'wobble' base-pairing, i.e. permitting non-standard base-pairing at the 3rd anti-codon position. Lineage: Eukaryota; Oomycota; Peronosporomycetes; Peronosporales; Peronosporaceae. The record is from Rfam.
ACCUUUUUAGCUCAGUGGUCGAGCGCUAGCUUUGGAAGCCACAGGUCGGUGGUUCGAACCCACCAGGGCAUA